This 465-nucleotide long non-coding RNA is filed under the name Homo sapiens (human). RNAcentral's name for it is "HSALNT0354888". Lineage: Eukaryota; Metazoa; Chordata; Mammalia; Primates; Hominidae. The record is from RNAcentral.
CUGAGAACCCGGGGCUCUUGACGCACCUACGACUUCCCUCCCUAGGGUGAGGCCCAGGCCUCUCAGAUAACUCUGGGAGGAUGGCAGAAAGUGUCUGAACCAGCCUUGAAUCCAGGUCUCACUGAUUCCCUGUUCUCAAGCCCAAGUGCCUCCAACUUGGGACCCAGAAAUGGACAAAGCAGGCCUGGGCCCUGUCCUCCUGGGGCUCCCAGUCUGGUUGGGGAGGUGGACUUUGUUGUCAAACAGACCGUCUCAAAACAGAGGUUAGCAGUGAUGGGAAAGCCCAGGAGGCUGUGGGAGCCCAGGAGGGCCCCCCGGCCAGAUCUCAGAAGUGGGGAGUGGUCAAGGAAGCCUUCCUGGAGGAAGAGUCAUUGAAGGAACAUCUGAGACCCCCGCCCAUCCUGUGGAAAAGAGGAUUGAGGCUGUGAAUGUUGCCACGUGGAGGUUGUUAAGUGGAUGACACUA